Molecule: ribosomal RNA, 421 nt
Filed under: Verrucomicrobiota bacterium
Lineage: Bacteria; Pseudomonadati; Verrucomicrobiota
Description: Verrucomicrobia bacterium partial 16S ribosomal RNA
Rfam family: Bacterial small subunit ribosomal RNA
Source: RNAcentral
UGGGGAAUUUUGCACAAUGGGCGCAAGCCUGAUGCAGCGACGCCGCGUGAGGGAUGAAGGCCUUCGGGUUGUAAACCUUUUUCGCUCAUGGUCAAGCCGCAGCUUUGGGUUGUGGUGAGGGUAGUGGGUAAAGAAGCGCCGGCUAACUACGUGCCAGCAGCCGCGGUAAUACGUAGGGCGCGAGCGUUGUCCGGAAUUAUUGGGCGUAAAGGGCGUGUAGGCGGCUAGAUAAGUGUGAUGUUUAAAUCCAAGGCUUAACCUUGGGGUUCAUUACAAACUGUUUAGCUUGAGUGCUGGAGAGGAUAGUGGAAUUCCUAGUGUAGCGGUAAAAUGCGUAGAUAUUAGGAGGAACACCGGUGGCGAAGGCGGCUAUCUGGACAGUAACUGACGCUGAGGCGCGAAAGCGUGGGGAGCAAACAGG